AGCGGAAACGGCGGCCGCAACAGGCACGUGCGCGGGUGGAACAGAGCGCCGGCGGCUCCAGGCGGCACGCGUGAGUGGGCAAGCGCAGGUGCUGGAGCGGCAGGAAUGUGAGCGGCACCGAGCGAGUGGCGCGAGUGUGCGCGCGAUGGCGUGCGGGAGUUGGCGGUGUGGGCAGCUGUUGAGCGGCCGGAGCGAAGCGCGGGCCCAGCAACAGAGGAAGGAGGUGGAGCUAUGCAAAGCAUUGACGAGCAGAGCAACGACAUGCAGAGCGGCAACGUGCAACGCAUGGCAGUGUUCCCGCUGGGCGAGCUCAGGCCACGACCAAGUUGAGUGCAGGAGGGUCGCGCGUGAUGGAUAUUAGGGGCCGUCGAGGAAAAGGCAGCGGAAGACACGGCCCUAAUAUAGACAGACCACGGUCCUCGCGAAGGCGGAGGUGUGAGUAUGGCAUGGCGAAUCGGAAAGAAAAGCUACGGAGCGAAGGCGAUGACUGGGCGUAACAAGCUCGGAGGAGCCACGGAGUAGCCAGACACGACGAGCUCCCUCCACCCAUGCAGAGGUCGAAACGGAAGCAGCACAUAGAAGAUGCGGCCAAGCACGGUGAUCCUACCGGAGGCUACGCGAGUGUGCGGACCAUGUUUCUGCAGCACACGUGCGUGAACAGUGGAGGCUUGGCCGUGAGCAAGGAAACCCUGAGGCUUGUGGAAGAGUCAACCUAGCGAACCAAUCCGGCUCCAUUGUCUUGUCCCAUGAUCCACGACACUCAGCAACUUCUACUCUUCGUCACCGUCGAGCUCUUCUCCUCGCUAAUCUUGUUCGCCACGGGAAUUCACUUUCCGUCUGUUCUUCUCCACAACCAAGACUACCCCAAGGUUUGCCCUGUUUUAUUAAAUUCUUUUAAUGCCGGCAAUCCCUUUGCCGGAAUAUCGUCGUUAACUUCCUGUUAUCUAUUCUCCCGGACUAGGGACUUGAUUGCUAUAUUUUGGAAAGUUCUAGGGUGUUCUUUGUAAAAUUUCAAAAGCUUUCUGUAUUUCAAAUCGAUGACCUCUACAUUUCAUAGAUUUUCAUAGGAAGUUCAUAAAAAUGUAAAAUCAGUUUCGUUUGAAACCCUAAGUCAAACUCUACAAGUUUUAUGUUAUGAUCUUGAGUUGAGAUCUUUGAUGUGUGGUCUAGGUCAAAUGUUAGGGAAUGAAUGUUUUAUUGUGCUUUAUAUUGUAUGCUUGUAUUACAGCUAAAGCGUAAGCUAUAGAAGUUAUGGCAUAAGUAGAGAUAUGCGAUAUCUAGUUAAUCCUUUCCCACGAAGUGCUCAUAUCCUUACCGUUAAGAUGUUAUCCUUGUUUUGAUUGCCGUUUUCUUAAGAUCCUUUUCGUAAAAGGAUCCCUGUUAGUUUAUGUACUUUUGUUGCUUAGCUUAUACACCUCUACGGCUAUGCUUCAACGUCGACUAUCAGUUCAACCGCUAAACAUUCAUUUCCUUUGAGUUUAGAAUAUUUUUGCGUAACAGCUGUCAGCCGAUAUAUUUCUUGUGAUAUGCUUCUACUAUCGGCUGGUUAGCUGAUACGAUUGUUACCUUUCUAGUAUCGACUGCUGCCGAUACAAGUCUGUUGUUCUGUCCUACAUCGACUACACAGAGUCGAUGUAUCGAAGAGACACACACGAUCUUAGGGUUCUUGCUAUCGGCCGACCCAAGCCGAUUUUGGUUGCCUUGCCAUAUCGGUCAAACACGGCCGAUCAAUCUUAGUUUUCCUAUCUCCAUUCCACACACCUCUAUCAGCCGAUUUAUCGACUGAGAGAUCGGCUAUCUAUAUCUAUCAGUCAUAUAUCCUCAAUCACACUCCAAUCGACUGUACGUCACUCAAUAGUUGUGCUGACGUAAUCGAGUCGAUACAACCACACUUAGUUACCUAGAAUAACACUUAAGCACAUCUCAGUUAAGACAACUGUUUUAGGAAUCAUCCCUCUGCUAAAGUGAUCGAUGUUUUCAUCGAUCAAUCAGGAAACUGGUGUACCUAUCAAUCUUCUACACAAACCAAAGUACACAACCCUAGAUCAAUAAGAUCGCACAUUAGACACGCCUCUGUUAGGCACGACCUAAGCACAUCAAUCAGCUAAACCCCCGUUGUUUCCAAUCGGCUCUGUUGUAACUCUCAACAAGUAGCUAAUUCUAGUUAGUUGUCCCCCUAAAGCUCUAUCUAGGUUUAGUUCAGAUCUUUUGGUUGUUAUAUGAAUAGUGUGUUAUAUAAGUGCUGGAUUGCAAUUUUGCUGUGAAAUAAAAUAGUUUUGUGUGCACGCUUGAAUGUAAUGUUGCAUUACAUGUAGAUACGACUACUUCAGCAACGGUACCUACGAGAUCUCCCCAGAGUCUACGGGGGAUAUUCCUGAAGAUCAAGUAAAUGUCACCAGGGGAAUAUCGGAAGCCCCGAACCAAAGUUCGGAAGAUAUUAACAUUUCUGACUUCAGACCCACCAGUAAAGGCAAGCCCCGGACAUAACCUACUAUUUUAUUACACUGCAAUCUAUAUCUAUUUAUGUAUUCUAUGCAUUAAGUUCUUAGGAAUUGCUUGAAACCCUAGAUGCAUGAAUCCUAGGAACCAAUGUGAUGAAUACUAGUACUUGAGUCCGACUAGCUGCUAUGCUAAUAGGGCUGGUAGAAGUCGGGUGAUUUCCUGUCACUCGCGCGAUAUAGGAGUUGUAAUGAUUACAUUCCUGUUAUCACUAUAAGGAUGCCGGACGGGAGUUUUGUGCGGUAUCAUGGUUGAGAUGAUACCCCGUCUGUGUUGAUGAAUCUGAUAAGGUCGCAGUGUGUGGAAGUGCGGGUUAGGUGUUUGAAAGUACUAGCCACAUGCCGUGAGUUAUGGGUAAGCGGUAAGCCUAGUAGCCAAUCGGCCCGAGGAGUGGACAUACCUCCCACCACAUGUAUUUGGUUCUUUUGGUUACUUGGUUCGACUGGGGAAAUACGUGUUGCAAGGGCAACCAGGAAUACGGGUUUUGUAGUCGCGCUACAGACGUAUGUCCUGCACACAUUGGGUGUGCGUAUGUUCCUGCAGUCGCUUGUGGUGGCUCUGAUCCACGAGUCGGAAUGAAAGGCAAACGGUUGCUUCGGAAUGACCCUGUGGUGUUCCAAGCGUGUGUGUUAGGUUUACCUUGCAAGGUUAAAUUCGAUUCGAAUCGUCCGCUUCUCACGAAGAUUGAGACUGCUUGAUCCCUUUUCCACAUAGAGUAACAAGAGCAAUAUUAUGGUUAUCAAAGAUGAUGUUUGACCAAAGAUUAUACCAUGCUUGCUUAGUCAUAGGUGCUUACCUAGAAUGGAUAAUUAACUAGAAUCUGAAAGCUAAAACUUGAAGUUAAGGAUCUACUCUUUGUUGCUUUUCAGCUGAAACUAAACCCAGAACCAUUAUAAGCUUUCAUAAGUCUAGUUAUGGGCUAAGUAUACCCAAUCCCGGGUAAGCCUUGCUGAGUAUUAGUAUACUCAGCCUUGCUAGCUUUAUGUUUUUCAGGUAAAGCCUUUGAAGACCCUAUUCUUCCCUUGUCAUGGCCCUGUGCUUUUCCAGAAGAUUGGUCCGAGGAAUGGGAUCCGUCCCCGACCAACACUGAUGAUCUCGAGUGAUGUCGUGUCUGGGCUUAGCAUGACAUCCACCUUGACGACGUGUUGUUAUUCUUCGCGUAUGUUUUCCGCUGCUUUUAACCCUAGUUUUACAGUUUGUAAUCUUUUCUCUAAAUGUGAAACUUCAUACUUCUUUUUGGAAACUCUUGUAAUGUAAUUCUCUAUGAUGUAAAAUGUGAUGGUGAUUGUAUCUCUGGACUCACCUUCGUGUGAGGUAACCUUAUUUGAUCCUGUGUAUCGGUG
Molecule: long non-coding RNA, 3842 nt
Filed under: Panicum hallii
Lineage: Eukaryota; Viridiplantae; Streptophyta; Magnoliopsida; Poales; Poaceae
Description: long non-coding RNA (PHAL_LNC000962)
Source: RNAcentral